RNAcentral lists this ribosomal RNA (1074 nucleotides) under seawater metagenome. RNAcentral describes it as "bacterial LSU rRNA". It matches the Rfam family "Bacterial large subunit ribosomal RNA", at positions 1285 to 2346 of the family's 2925-position model. The record is from RNAcentral.
GAAGUGCGAAUGCUGACAUGAGUAACGAUAAGGGGAGUGAAAAACUCCCCCGCCGAAAGACCAAGGUUUCCUGUCCCAUGUUAAUCAGGGCAGGGUAAGUCGGCCCCUAAGGCGAGGCGGAAACGCGUAGUCGAUGGGAAACAGAUUAAUAUUUCUGUACUUCUAUAUAUUGCGAAGGAGGGACGGAGUAGGCUAGGUGAGCACGGCGUUGGUAGUCCGUGUGAAAGUAUGUAGGCGGUUGACUUAGGUAAAUCCGGGUCUUCAUUAACGCUGAGAUACGAGACGAGUGUCCAAGGACAUGAAGUCAUUGAUGCCAUGCUUCCAGGAAAAGCUUCUAAGCUUCAGAUAUAUAGGAACCGUACCCCAAACCGACACAGGUGGUUAGGUAGAGAAUACUAAGGCGCUUGAGAGAACUCGGGUGAAGGAACUAGGCAAAAUAGUACCGUAACUUCGGGAGAAGGUACGCUCUCUAAUGUGAAUGACUUGCUCAGUAAGCAUCGGAGAGUCGAAGUAACCAGGUGGCUGGAACUGUUUAUUAAAAACACAGCACUGUGCAAAAUCGAAAGAUGACGUAUACGGUGUGACGCCUGCCCGGUGCCGGAAGGUUAAUUGAUUGGGUUAGCUCUGCGAAGCUCAUGAUCGAAGCCCCGGUAAACGGCGGCCGUAACUAUAACGGUCCUAAGGUAGCGAAAUUCCUUGUCGGGUAAGUUCCGACCUGCACGAAUGGCGUAACGAUGGCCACACUGUCUCCACCCGAGACUCAGUGAAAUUGAAAUUGCGGUUAAGAUGCCGUAUACCCGCGGCUAGACGGAAAGACCCCGUGAACCUUUACUAUAGCUUGACAGUGAACAUUGCUCCUACAUGUGUAGGAUAGGUGGGAGGCUUUGAAACUUUGUCGCCAGAUGAAGUGGAGCCAACCUUGAAAUACCACCCUUGUAUGCGUGAUGUUCUAACCUAGGGCCCUAAUCGGGCUUGGGGACACUGUCUGGUGGGUAGUUUGACUGGGGCGGUCUCCUCCUAAAGAGUAACGGAGGAGCACGAAGGUUGGCUAAGUACGGUCGGACAUCGUACGGU